GAAAGCUCCCAUCUCCCUGCCUUUGUGCUCCCUGGAAAGAAUCUGAGCCAGAAGGACCGGCCAGAGCUUAGGUUAUGGUGUGAUGCUAAUGCUGUUAUUGCAGCUGAGGAAAGAAGGGAGAGAAGUUUCAAUAAAAAGCCUUGUAAGCAAAUUUGGUUCUGAGCAUCUCCUGUUUUAGAGGUGGGCAACGCUUGAGAGUACACACAGUUGCUUGUCCAGGGGUCAGAGCAGAUAGCUCCCAGCAGUAUAUCCCUUAAUAUUCUGUUUAGCAUGACCCCGAGAACAGCCCAAGCCUACCUUCCUUCCGCAGAAGGGAGUGUAGAGGGGGAGGGAAGCGCUGGGGGUGAGCAGAGACCAGCUGCCGAGCUGGAAAUAGGGUAGCAGCGCUGUGCUGGGAGAGAGAGAGGAGAGCAGCAGCGGAGCCCGCACCCACACGAGGGUGCUCUCGGCCCGCGGUUCACCUCCAGGGGAAGGAAGGAGACUGGGAAGGGGCUGCUCCUCGCCUUUCUCUUCAUCCUCCGCGAGCAGAGACAUUACUUAAGCAGUGCACGCCCUGGUGCCCUUUCCCUGUCCCCCAGCCCUGCAGUGGUGUCCCCUUGCUUGCCAGCUCCAUGCCCGCAAUGGGUGACUGGGGGGGUGCUCUCUUUAGGUGAUGCCUUACCUGCCCCAGUGCCCUGUGUGUGAUCCCCAGUGCUCACCUGGCAGAGAUGUGCAGUUUGCACACUGGUACAUGUCAGCAGUAACAUAUGGGCAAGGUGUGCGGUUACGCCCGGGGACUGGCAGCGCUCAGACGCAUCAGCAGCUCAGAGGCCAAGAACAAGCUCCUGCAGCCACCCAAGAAGAAGUGUGGAUGGAAGAGGAGCACAUUGAAGCAAUGCCAUCUUCCAGAAAAGCAAACAAACAAAAAGCAGCUUUUCGAACAAAUGAUUCUGAAACGGUUGAGUGAUGACAUAGUUAAAAUGGCAGACAGCAGCAGUGUGUGUAAAGGUGAAGUCUCGUACCAAUGGUGAAGUCUUUGGCAAUGCAAGCUCUCCAGGCGCGAGGUUGGAAAUGCCAAAGCAGGGAAGAGGAAUUUCUUUUGUUUUGUUUUCCAUGGCGUGGCUUUAUUCCUCUUUUGCUCAUGUCUGUGCUCCAGGCAGUGCCCCAGAAAUUCUCAGUUUUUUAAAGGAUCGCAUAACCCUGAAGAAAUAAAAGUAAAAAAAAAACCA
This 1208-nucleotide long non-coding RNA is filed under the name Numida meleagris (helmeted guineafowl). RNAcentral describes it as "lncRNA (ENSNMEG00000015408.1)". The record is from RNAcentral. Lineage: Eukaryota; Metazoa; Chordata; Aves; Galliformes; Numididae.